CAGGUUUACCUGUGUGACUGCGUACCUUUUGUAUAAUGGGUCAGCGACUUAUAUUCUGUAGCAAGGUUAACCGUAUAGGGGAGCCGCAGGGAAACCGAGUCUUAAUUGGGCGUUAAGUUGCAGGGUAUAGACCCGAAACCCGGUGAUCUAGCCAUGGGCAGGUUGAAGGUUGGGUAACACUAACUGGAGGACCGAACCGACUAAUGUUGAAAAAUUAGCGGAUGACCUGUGGCUGGGGGUGAAAGGCCAAUCAAACCGGGAGAUAGCUGGUUCUCCCCGAAAGCUAUUUAGGUAGCGCCUCGUGAAUUCAUCUCCGGGGGUAGAGCACUGUUUCGGCUAGGGGGCCAUCCCGGCUUACCAACCCGAUGCAAACUGCGAAUACCGGAGAAUGUUAUCACGGGAGACACACGGCGGGUGCUAACGUCCGUCGUGAAGAGGGAAACAACCCAGACCGCCAGCUAAGGUCCCAAAGUCAUGGUUAAGUGGGAAACGAUGUGGGAAGGCCCAGACAGCCAGGAUGUUGGCUUAGAAGCAGCCAUCAUUUAAAGAAAGCGUAAUAGCUCACUGGUCGAGUCGGCCUGCGCGGAAGAUGUAACG
Molecule: ribosomal RNA, 597 nt
Filed under: Salmonella enterica subsp. enterica serovar Mississippi
Lineage: Bacteria; Pseudomonadati; Pseudomonadota; Gammaproteobacteria; Enterobacterales; Enterobacteriaceae
Description: partial 23S ribosomal RNA
Rfam family: Bacterial large subunit ribosomal RNA
Source: RNAcentral